RNAcentral lists this ribosomal RNA (358 nucleotides) under uncultured fungus. RNAcentral's name for it is "eukaryotic LSU rRNA". It matches the Rfam family "Eukaryotic large subunit ribosomal RNA", at positions 40 to 398 of the family's 3401-position model. The record is from RNAcentral. Lineage: Eukaryota; Fungi.
AUAUCAAUAAGCGGAGGAAAAGAAACCAACAGGGAUUGCCUCAGUAACGGCGAGUGAAGCGGCAACAGCUCAAAUUUGAAAUCUGGCCUUCUGGUCCGAAUUGUAAUUUGUAGAGGAUGCUUCGGGCGUGGUUCAGUCUAAGUUCCUUGGAACAGGACGUCAUAGAGGGUGAGAAUCCCGUAUGCGACUGAGUGCCUAAGCCUAUGUGAAGCUCCUUCGACGAGUCGAGUUGUUUGGGAAUGCAGCUCAAAAUGGGUGGUAAAUUUCAUCUAAAGCUAAAUAUUGGCCAGAGACCGAUAGCGCACAAGUAGAGUGAUCGAAAGAUGAAAAGCACUUUGGAAAGAGAGUUAAACAGUAC